RNAcentral lists this ribosomal RNA (465 nucleotides) under uncultured bacterium. RNAcentral's name for it is "partial 16S ribosomal RNA". It matches the Rfam family "Bacterial small subunit ribosomal RNA", at positions 28 to 505 of the family's 1533-position model. The record is from RNAcentral.
GAUGAACGCUGGCGGCGUGCUUAACACAUGCAAGUCGAACGGAAAGGCUCCUGCUUGCAGGGGUACUCGAGUGGCGAACGGGUGAGUAACACGUGGGUGAUCUGCCCUGCACUUCGGGAUAAGCCUGGGAAACUGGGUCUAAUACCGGAUAGGACCACAUUUUGGAUGGUGUGGUGGAAAGUUUUUCGGUGUGGGAUGAGCUCGCGGCCUAUCAGCUUGUUGGUGGGGUAAUGGCCUACCAAGGCGUCGACGGGUAGCCGGCCUGAGAGGGUGUACGGCCACAUUGGGACUGAGAUACGGCCCAGACUCCUACGGGAGGCAGCAGUGGGGAAUAUUGCACAAUGGGCGCAAGCCUGAUGCAGCGACGCCGCGUGGGGGAUGACGGCCUUCGGGUUGUAAACUCCUUUCGCUAGGGACGAAGCGUUUUUGUGACGGUACCUGGAGAAGAGGCACCGGCUAACUACG